GUCACGGCUCACCAAGGCGAUGACGGGUAGCCGGUCUGAGAGGAUGUCCGGCCACACUGGAACUGAGACACGGUCCAGACACCUACGGGUGGCAGCAGUCGAGAAUCAUUCACAAUGGGGGCAACCCUGAUGGUGCGACGCCGCGUGGGGGAAUGAAGGUCUUCGGAUUGUAAACCCCUGUCAUGUGGGAGCAAAUUAAAAAGAUAGUACCACAAGAGGAAGAGACGGCUAACUCUGUGCCAGCAGCCGCGGUAAUACAGAGGUCUCAAGCGUUGUUCGGAAUCACUGGGCGUAAAGCGUGCGUAGGCUGUUUCGUAAGUCGUGUGUGAAAGGCAGGGGCUCAACCCCUGGAUUGCACAUGAUACUGCGAGACUAGAGUAAUGGAGGGGGAACCGGAAUUCUCGGUGUAGCAGUGAAAUGCGUAGAUAUCGAGAGGAACACUCGUGGCGAAGGCGGGUUCCUGGACAUUAACUGACGCUGAGGCACGAAGGCCAGGGGAGCGAAAGGGAUUAGAUACCCCUGUAGUCCUGGCAGUAAACGGUGCACGCUUGGUGUGCGGGGAAUCGACCCCCUGCGUGCCGGAGCUAACGCGUUAAGCGUGCCGCCUGGGGAGUACGGUCGCAAGAUUAAAACUCAAAGAAAUUGACGGGGACCCGCACAAGCGGUGGAGUAUGUGGCUUAAUUCGAUGCAACGCGAAGAACCUUACCUGGGCUUGACAUGUAAUGAACAACAUGUGAAAGCAUGCGACUCUUCGGAGGCGUUACACAGGUGCUGCAUGGCCGUCGUCAGCUCGUGUCGUGAGAUGUUUGGUUAAGUCCAGCAACGAGCGCAACCCCUGUUGCCAGUUACCAGCACGUCAAGGUGGGGACUCUGGCGAGACUGCCCAGAUCAACUGGGAGGAAGGUGGGGACGACGUCAGGUCAGUAUGGCCCUUAUGCCCAGGGCUGCACACGUACUACAAUGCCCAGUACAGAGGGGGCCGAAGCCGCGAGGCGGAGGAAAUCCUGAAAACUGGGCCCAGUUCGGACUGUAGGCUGCAACCCGCCUACACGAAGCCGGAAUCGCUAGUAAUGGCGCAUCAGCUACGGCGCCGUGAAUACGUUCCCGGGUCUUGUACACACCGCCCGUCACAUCAUGGAAGCCGGUCGCACCCGAAGUAUCUGAAGCCAACCGCAAGGAGGCAGGGUCCUAAGGUGAGACUGGUAACUGGGAUGAAGUCGUAACAAGGUAGCCGUAGGGGAACCUGCGGCUGGAUCACCUCCUUUCUAUGGA
RNAcentral lists this ribosomal RNA (1273 nucleotides) under Bacteroides thetaiotaomicron. RNAcentral describes it as "bacterial SSU rRNA". It matches the Rfam family "Bacterial small subunit ribosomal RNA", at positions 257 to 1533 of the family's 1533-position model. Lineage: Bacteria; Pseudomonadati; Bacteroidota; Bacteroidia; Bacteroidales; Bacteroidaceae. The record is from RNAcentral.